This 513-nucleotide ribosomal RNA is filed under the name uncultured bacterium. RNAcentral's name for it is "partial 16S ribosomal RNA". It matches the Rfam family "Bacterial small subunit ribosomal RNA", at positions 28 to 523 of the family's 1533-position model. The record is from RNAcentral.
GACGAACGCUGGCGGCACGCCUAAUACAUGCAAGUCGAGCGAACAGAUGAAGUGCUUGCACUUCUGACGUUAGCGACGAACGGGUGAGUAACACGUAAGGAAUCUACCUAUAAGCGGGGGAUAACAUUCGGAAACGGGUGCUAAUACCGCAUAAUAUCUUCUUCCGCAUGGAAGAAGAUUAAAAGACGGCUCUGCUGUCACUUAUAGAUGACCUUGCGGUGCAUUAGUUAGUUGGUGGGGUAACGGCCUACCAAGACGAUGAUGCAUAGCCGACCUGAGAGGGUGAUCGGCCACAUUGGGACUGAGACACGGCCCAAACUCCUACGGGAGGCAGCAGUAGGGAAUCUUCCGCAAUGGGCGAAAGCCUGACGGAGCAAUGCCGCGUGAGUGAAGAAGGCCUUCGGGUCGUAAAACUCUGUUAUAAGAGAAGAACAAAUUGUAGAGUAACUGCUACAGUCUUGACGGUAUCUUAUCAGAAAGCCACGGCUAACUACGUGCCAGCAGCCGCGGUAA